RNAcentral lists this long non-coding RNA (1768 nucleotides) under Ursus maritimus (polar bear). Its description in RNAcentral is "lncRNA (ENSUMAG00000010385.1)". The record is from RNAcentral. Lineage: Eukaryota; Metazoa; Chordata; Mammalia; Carnivora; Ursidae.
CGCCUGGUCUCAUCACAACUGAUAUUACCUCAAAUGACGGCUCCGUGGCUGGGGUAAAAUCAACCAGAAGCUGCUUGCUUGCUAGGUGACCCUGGCAAAUCACUAUUCCUCAGAUUUUCCUUUAAAAUCUUGAACGCGUUGGGCCAGAAGUUUUGUAAGAUCCCGUCUGGUCUGAUUCCAUCACUUAUGACCCAUGAAUACUUCGUAUGAGUUCUAUUUUGGGAUCUGCUGCAGGGCCGUGCCAUGUGAUGCUCGCUGCCGCUCCGGGAGGGGUCAGAUGCUCUCAGGACGGCCGAGUGGGGAAGCAUGAGUGUCUGUCUUCUGGAGUCUCGGGCUCUGGGUCAGCAGCUUUCUAGACGAGGGGUGCUUUUUCAUUUUGGCGUUUGAGUGCGGAACAAACCCACAAGGCUCAAGCUCUGCUUGUGGAUGAAAAGCACAUGGUUCGUGAAACGACUUGGGGCUCUGGUGAUGUGGGGCCAGACUUGAGGACGGAGGUGAGGGAAGGAGCUUCUCCUUCUCCUCCUGGAGGCAGCGAAAAGAACCGGGAGCCCCCACUCCGGGAGCCCAAGGGAAAGGUGUCGAAGAUGUUGGGAGCAAGAGGGCUCAGUGAAACUUGCGAUGGAUAAAAGGGGGUGUUUUCUGGUGGGAUCACAGUUCCAGAAAACAACACAGAGAUGACACACUUUCUUUAAGGAAGUGACUUCCCCUUUUGUUUUGUGCUGAAUGAAAACACGUCCACUUUCUUGGGGGAAAAUACAGUUUAGUACUUGACGGCUGGGCCAUUCGUCCCCAUAAGGCCAUUCUCAUGGUCCUUGCUGUUUGCGGCAGUAACGCGAAGAGACGGGAAGCAUCGGAAGGAGCAGCUGAGGGGUGCGCCGGGCGCUCCGGUCACUUCCUGUGGGACCGGCCUGGUUUGCAGCUUCCCGGGGCCAGCGGCCUGGUGACCCUCACUCAUCGCAUGGCGGUUCUGAUGCUCCGACUUCACCCCCUGAAGCUGCCGAGCAAAACUCGGAGGUCACGCCCCUCAGCCCUGGCGUGGCUGCCCGGAGCGGAGCCGCAGCGUGUGAGGGCAAAGGGAGCGCAGAGCUACUUUUCCUUCUGGGCGUCCCGCCUGUCCCCUCUUCCCGCCUCCCGAAGACGUCCUGACCCCUCCUUUCCCGUGGCUCCGGCAGCUGAGGACCGCAGGAAGCCCCUCUCUGCCAGUCUUGCCGUGUCUGUGGGGGUCUGCAGGGUGCGUGCGGGCCUUCGUCCUCAGGCCUCGCUGGGGUCAGACGCCGGCCCCUCUGCUCAACCUGAAAUGCCUCCAGAGACAAGAAGACAGGCUUCUGGAGACGGGUUCUCGAGAUUUCUCAAUUGUGGAGAAAACCCUGGACAGGGGCCAUGUGGUCUCAUUUCCUUGCUAAAAUCCCUUCUUUGUGAACUGCGGUUCGAACACCAGAAUCGCCCAUGCGAAGACAUCUGGGUCCUUUUGCAGAACGCUCGUUGGAGAUGGGGUUGCCUGUGUUACCUCAUGUCUGUUAUAUAAGGACGCACUUGAUAAAUUUCUCCUUGAACACCAUGCCAGGAAAAAUUUCUCUUUCCAAUCUGAUUCCAGAGUUAUUGUACAAUGAAAAGUAUACGAGCCAGCCUGUUUCCCCUUCAUCCAGGAAAUUCAGAGAUAAAUCCAGCGUUCAGCUGUAGUAAACAGCUCAUCCCAGGUGGCCCGAAACAUACUGUUUCUGUUUUACCCUCACUUGUUAUUCUGGGAGUUGUGUUCAGUUUGUAAAGU